This is a non-coding RNA of Podarcis lilfordi (Lilford's wall lizard), 3865 nucleotides long. The record is from the annotation of a GenBank genome assembly. NCBI's taxonomy places the organism in Eukaryota, Metazoa, Chordata, Lepidosauria, Squamata, Lacertidae.
UCAUACCAGUCAGUUCACAGUGCCCAAUAAACUCUCAAUUCUGCCUCAUUUAUAUUGUUGAGUGAGGUAGCCCUAUGAUCUUCUAACAUUAAACUACAACAUCCCAUGAAUAAGGGACAAUCUGUGCACGAAGAAUUAGCAGUCGAGUAGAGAAGUAAUUAAACGUUGCAGAUUGGGGUGAUGAAAGUGUAACAGUCUGAAUGGGGUUGGGAAAGGGCAUGGAAAUGUUUUGAUGGAACUACUCUUUAAUCAUCUAGGAGCUGAUGAUAUGAUGGUGGGGUGCCCAGGAUCCAAGACCUUCAUCUUAGAGCCAAGACUGUGUAGGUCAAGGAAACAACAGUUAAGCUGCUGACACAACCAAGAAGUAAUAAGGGCUUCUGCCUAAAUCGAUCAUAUUAAUGCUUCUUAAUUAGCCGGGUAUCAGGUUAUAACUCAUUUUUAUGGGAACCACACAGAAACGACAAGUUGAUUUAGACAUUAUUAUCCCAACAAGGGGAAGAUUUGCCUUCGGCAGGGCUGCCCCAAGACAUUUUGGCACCUGAGGCAAACCCACAAAAUGGCCACCUACACUGGGUGGGUGCUGAGCCCAGGAGACCCCAGAGGGCAGCCCCUGCCAUUUUCUCCCUAGGGACAGAGGGAGACCAGGAACACUCCCAGUUUGCCAAGAGGUUGCCAUAGAGGCAGAAUUAGAAGGGGCUGCCAAGGAGGCAGCAGUUCCAGCCUACAAUGAGUAUAGCAGCAGCAGGCAAGGCCAGAUCUGCUGCCCUGUGGUUCCUGCUACUUGAGGUGGUUACUUCAUGGGUGGGCCGACUCUGGCCUUUGGUAUAUUGCAUUUGUUUCUGAGCAUGUUCACAGUUAUUUCGGUGCACUCUUCCCACCUUGGAUCAAAUCUAUGCUUCCAGGUGCCAUAAGAAAGCUGCUGAGAUAGUGCAGGAUAGUGCGCACCCUGGAAAUGAUCUCUUUCAGCUUCUGCCUUCUGGAAGAAGGUACAGGGUUAUAAAGACUAGGACUAGCUGCCUGAGAAACAGUUUCUAUCCAAAUGCAAUUUUGGUUUUAAACACAGUGUAAGGAGUCUCUGUGGGAGUAUUUUGUAUUUAAUUAUGGGGUACCAGAGUUUUCAGGGGGUUAACCAAGCUGGGAUAGCAGGCUUGUUGGUUUUUGAAGGUCUGAUGUAGAUUUUUUCAGUUUUGUUGCUCUGUAUGGGACAAUGACAAUAAAGAUUAUCGUAUCGUAUCGUAUUUGGGGAUGCAUGGUCCUUCUCAGGCAUAGGCGCGGAGAAAGUAACAUGAUAACAUAGAUAUAGCAUAUCUUGUGUGAUUCAGAUUCAUUUCUGCUUUGGUGAAGCAUUUUUUAAAAGAUGUCACAGUUGCGGAAAUUGUUGCACAUAAGCAAGAAUGUUCAUAUGGGGAAUAACACAGUCAGAUGAAAACGUAUAGAUAGAUGUUGCUGCUUGGCAGUCACAUAGGCAUUUUAGCUCAGUUUUAGCUAAAUGUCCCCAUGGGACUGAUGGAAGUCAUGGCUUUUGUGGUAACUUAUAUUAUUAUAUAAUGAUGAUGAUGAUGAUGAUGAUUUCAGUUGGUAUUUGAUAGUCAGGGACAGGAUGGGAUUAGUAACUGUGAUGGGUUUUAUAAUUUUAACAUAUUAUUAUUAGGGAUAGAGGGACAUGUCUUUUUCACUUCUCUCUGUUUCUCAUUUUUCCAGUCUUAAAUCCAAUUCUUCACAUUUUGCAGCAAUUUUCAGAUCUUUUAUUUAACUGUACGAAAACAAUGCACCUUUUGCAUGCAGUUUUGACCGAUGUACACAUUUUGACCGAUGUACACAUUUUGGCAAGCAUUUUCCCCAAUGCAAUGUACUUUAGUUUGUUACUGUCACCAACAAAAUCAUUUUUAUUCACACUUAUAUGGAUUUUUAAAAACAUCGGUUGGGAAGCUGCAUAGCAAAAAUGGGAUAAGUUUGACUUUCCAAGGAUAGCUGUGUUUCAGUUCAUAUAUUGUAUCAGAAGGCAGAGCCUAGGUGAUCUGGCGCCCCUGGCUGAACCAUCCAGAUUGCGCCCCCUAGCCACUGACAAAUUAGCUCUUCUUUCCGCCUCUCCUCCACCCCCUUCAAUUCACCCUCUAUUUAAAACCUCUUCUUAUGAGGCAAUAAUCAAAAUAUUUAUUUAUGGAUAUAUUUGUAGCCGAUUUUGUGCCCCCCCCACUUGCCUGCGCUCCUGGCGGGGGCCCACCUCGCCACCCCUUAGCUCCAGCCCUGUCAGAAGGUGAAAAUUUGAUAGUUUCAGCUUCAAAUGAGACAUGAAUUGGAUUCCACUCCUUCCCUAAUUUUUAUUCAUCCACCCCCAAGUCCUUGGGAUGUGGGGGUGGGCUAAAAAGGAAACAAGCAGAAGAACCAGUGCACUACUUCAAAAUGCUCAAUGCACACAGAAAUUGCUUUGCAUUCUAUCAAGUCCUUUGCACUGUAACCAGAUCUGGUACAGAGUAGACUAAAUUUUCUCCAUGAAAUGUGUGUUAAAGAAACCACAUACCUUAGGGAAGAAGAAGUUCAUAAAUGCAGCCGUAGAAAGUGUUAGGAAUAAACAUUUUUUUAAAAAAGAAAGAAAGAAAUAAGUAUGUCAACAGUAGUUUGAUUUGAUUUGGAAUGAGAAAUCAUGCAGACUGUUAAGAAGCUAUGUUUUAUUUAAGCCAUGCCAAACAUUUGAGGACCACGAUAGCACACCUUGGCUGAUCAUUUAUUUAUUUUACUUAUUUCAGCACCAGCAUACAUAUGUUAAAACUCAAUGAUUAUACUUAAGCUCCAGGCAUGUUACCAGAUUUUCUUUUUAAAGUUUAAUCAAGCCACAGCAAGGAAAUAAAAUAAUUCCAAAACAAUUCUAAAAAAUGUCCUCGCUGUGGCAAGUGCUCCCCACCUGUCAGGAGUCAGUGUGAAAGACGCAAGGCUCUGUUGUCAGUGAAGUUAACUCUCUUUUAUUUGAGGAAAUGACAUACAACUCAGCAACACUUCCCAGCAGGUCUUGCCCCUACGGAGCAGUUGCCAGGACUGAAAGUCCUUGCCGUCCACUCUUUCUAAGGCUCCUCCUCUCCCAGAUGUUUCCCAAGCAGUCUCAAAUUGCAUCUGUGCACCUCUGGUUUCUGUUCUGCCCUCCUCGUUUUUCUGCAUGUUCUUGGAGACCAGGGUGGAGGGGAGAUUGUCACAGCAGGAGAGGGAGACUCCCUGGAUUUUUCAGCAGUCUCUUGACCCCUCUCCACUGCUUCAGCCUCAGAGUCUGAACUGCUCCCUGUCACUGGCUCUUCCUGCUCACUAAACUCUGUUGCCUCUUCAGCAUCUAGUCUUUCCUCCCAAGCCUCUCCCUCUGUCCUCUCCUUAGUGUCCCCUGGCUCUGAGCCUUCCUCCUCUGGGGUUCCCCUUGGGGGUUCACUGGCUGGUGCCUCCCACCACUCCUGGUGUCAGAGACCAGGCUGAGGAGUACUGCUCUGAUGAGGAAUGGUGGCAGCCUCCCCCUCCCCCUGCUCCUGACCAGGAUACUGAAGCUGCCCAGGAGCAGUGGAGCAGUAUAGAUUUGGAACAGAGGGGCAUACUUCUGAAGACAAAAGUUGGGAUGAACUUGGGUGGUGAACAGGAAAGUGAAGAAGAACUGGAAGAGAGAGAGAGCUAACAGACUCACUCUCGCUGUGAAGUGUCCAGCCUACCAGUACAAGGUCAGGUAGAGAAGAUUAGGUGGCUACACAAAAAGCACAGUGGUUGUGACAUCAGGUUGCAAGACGGAAGUAACUGGGGGGGAAGUGGGUGGAAACCUUAAUUGGGAACACCUUCAUUCCAAGAAUGGCUGCUUUGUUCUUUUGCUGUUAUCAUUAAAGACUCUUUAAAUGGU